GUAGCAAAAUCAUUUGUUUUUUAAUUGAAAACUGGAAUGAAAGGUUGAACAAAUAUAUAGUUUUGUUUUUUAAACAAUUAAAAUUUUUAAUUUAUGUAAAAAUGCGUAAAUGAUUUAAAGGGACGAUAAGACCCUAAAAGCUUUAUUAUUAAAAUUUUUAUUAUUGUUAGAAUUUGAUUAUUAUAAGAUAUUUUAACUGGGGCGGUUGUUUUUAUAACAAAAAUUUUUUUUACAAUUGGGAUUUGAGGUCCUUAAAAUUAGGAUAAAUUGUUAAAGUUACUUUAGGGGUAACAGCGUAAUAGUAAUGGGGAGACCUUAUUUAUAUUGUUGAUUGCGACCUCGAUGUUGAAUUAAAUUUUCUAUAUAAAGCAGAAAUUAUAUGUGAAAGUUUGUUCAACUUUUUAAAAUUU
RNAcentral lists this ribosomal RNA (410 nucleotides) under Platorchestia humicola. RNAcentral's name for it is "partial 16S ribosomal RNA". The record is from RNAcentral. Lineage: Eukaryota; Metazoa; Arthropoda; Malacostraca; Amphipoda; Talitridae.